UACGAAGGGUGCAAGCGUUAAUCGGAAUUACUGGGCGUAAAGGGUGCGUAGGCGGGUCUUUAAGUCAGGGGUGAAAUCCUGGAGCUCAACUCCAGAACUGCCUUUGAUACUGAGGAUCUUGAGUAUGGGAGAGGUGAGUGGAAUUUCCGGGUGUAGCGGUGAAAUGCGUAGAUAUCGGAAGGAACACCUGUGGCGAAAGCGGCUCACUGGACCAUUACUGACGCUGAGGCACGAAAGCUAGGGGAGCAAACAGGG
Molecule: ribosomal RNA, 255 nt
Filed under: uncultured bacterium
Lineage: Bacteria
Description: partial 16S ribosomal RNA
Rfam family: Bacterial small subunit ribosomal RNA
Source: RNAcentral